Molecule: non-coding RNA, 4164 nt
Organism: Doryrhamphus excisus (bluestripe pipefish)
Lineage: Eukaryota; Metazoa; Chordata; Actinopteri; Syngnathiformes; Syngnathidae
Source: RefSeq, a predicted model, not a curated record
CUCUGAAAAUGUAACAGCCAAUCCAAAGGGCUGGGGGCGGGACUAAGAGCAAGAGUUUGACAGAGAGGAGCGGGAAGGAGAUAGACGCCAUCGCCGGGAGAGUGCACAGUAAGACAUCAUUAAGUAGUAACACAGAAGUGUAUCACCGAAGGUCGACUAUUCGUGGUCCUGAUAUUGACUUCUUGUGAAUUUCAAAAGGAGAUGAUGUUUUCCCGAUGGAUGGGUCCUGUUGUGUCCUGCUGCCCGGCCGCCCGGCCGUGUUGCAGUUGUGUUCCGGCCGACGACCCUGCUGAGUGACGCCACCAUGCCAUGUUAUUGGAUGAUAAUUGUGCUGACAUCAAGAGAUUAUCUGGAAACUGCAUAUCCACAGGCUGCCACCCCGAGGAGAGGACCUCCUUGCUUUGAGGGUUCUGCCGGGCCACCACCACCCAGAGCGGAAUCAGAGCCAGGAAAACCACACACACCAGGGGAGAUAGGACGUACCCCGCACCUCACCCAAAGUCAACUGGGGUAGUUUACAGAAUAAUACCAGUUAAAAGGUACUGCUGACUCCAGCCAGCAGUGACAGCGUGAUCAAAUCACCCAAACUGGCAGCUAUAGGGGUGGCCACAUUGUCUGGGUUGAUUCCUACCUUCCUGGAGCCGAUGAUCACGCCAACCAUCAACAAGCCUGGAAGGGAGAGCAUAUCAACAGGAAAUGAAAGCGACAAUGCAACUGGUUGUCCGCUCUUAAACUUAUACAAUGAUCAAGUCCAGGGGUCACUCACCUAAAGAGAGAGCAGCCACAAAGGCCGUGACUAUGCUACUGGCACACAGAACAGCCGCCUGAUCCAGUUCAAUUCCCCCUCUGGAAAUUGAUCCUAAAGAAACAGCUGCGACAGCAGCAAGGAAGCCUACGACAGUCGCUUGUACCUACAGAAAGUGUUUCAUCAGUAAAAAUAGAUACAUUUUAUCUGUAAACUGAUAACAUUACUUGUGGACCAAGUAUUGCUUGGUCAAGUGGGGCAAAAAAGUAUUGUCAGUCAGCAAUUGUGCAUGUCUUCACAAGGUCUUCACACACUGUUGAUGGUAUUUUGACCCAUUCCUCCAUGCAGAUAUAUUUUGGGGCUGUCACUGGGCAACACAGAUUUUCAACUCCCUUGAAAGAUUUUCUACGGGGUUGAGAUCUGGCCUCUUGUUCUGGUCACGCCUCCUUUGCCCAGGCGGUGUGUUUGGGAUCAUGCUGAAAGACCCAGCGACGUUUCAUCUUCAAUGGUGUAUACUGAUAAUGAGUUCACACAGAUACCAUUAAUACAGGUAAGACAGAGUUGACUCUUAAAGAAGAAGUUACAGAUGAGGUAUGCUGUGGCGACCCCUGAAAGGAAAAGCCGAAAGAGAAAAAGUUGAGGUAUACCCGUGAUGAAAAUGGGAGGUUGGUGACUGCCUAAUACUUUUUUUUGCCCCACUGUAAUCACACAAGUUUCAGUAUGUACAGUACAGUACCUGUAUCAGUGCUAGAUUGCUGCACACCAUGGUCCAUUGUUUGUGUGGGUCAUCCAUUUGUCCCGUGUUGGCCUAAAAAAAAAAAUGAAUUCACUUCAGACCUAACAAGAUAACCAAGACGUACAAAUGGACAAUAUAUAGUGUUAUGUGUACAUAUGUUGUAUGGCAUGCAUGUACUUGUCAUGUUCAGUUGAGUUAAAAUGAACUCUGGUGUGUUAGCUCUGUUCAUACGGUGUGAACGCUCAAAUCUAAACAGACCAAAGCCUCGGGCUAGUAAUGCAGACCUAUUAUGCUUUUUCCACUUUUCUGACCUGUAAAUGUAGUUAGAAUGUUGUAUUCUCGUGUUAAUCGAUGCCAAAGUUCCAGAUAAUGAGGUUUGUGCAUUUGGGAGUGAGUUUUUCCUAUAUGGGCUUCCGGCGUCAACAUCAGGUGUCAAUCUUACAGCAGUGGAGAGGCGGGCAGCUAGGGUCAUCUCUAGGUUUCCUUUGAGUCCAACCAGCGCAGGUACCAGAAUAAAGACCUCAGUGAUCACCUUGAACACAUCCCAGUGCUGAAAGACACAUAAAAUUUAUUUAUUUUUUAUUUUUAGAAACAAUUAUAAUUACUCCUAAGAAAUAUUUAAAAUCAAUUCCAAAUCCUGUGACACUAAUUAGGAUAAGUGGUAUAGAAAAUGGAUGGAUUCAAAAUAAACCCCAUGAACCUCCCGGUCUUGCAGACAUCAUUUUUAAAUAAGCACAUCACAUAUUCAAAAGUAACCACUAGCCUACUUUUUCCUCAUUCCACCUCUCUGGUCACCAUGUGACAGCAGAAGGUUCACCGGGUACACGGGAGGUACGGCUUGGCUACAAGUCUACUUGGCAGGUCCAUGGAGUUUCGAGCUUUAAAUAGAUGCACAUAGAACAGAGGACGUCAGCUGGUAAGAGACAAGUGAUGUGGAGGAGAGGUGGAGAGAGGGUGGGCAGGAGGCAAAGGAGGAUGCAGUGAAAGAGUAAUCUAUCUGAUGCAAUAGUAGACAAAAAGAAUUAAAGGUUUCUGUAUAUUUUGAACUAAGGUGAAUUAAUUUAAUUGGCGGUAUUGUAAUUUUGUGAAACUAAGUAUCAGAGAAAUGAGAUGUGAAUUAUACACAUCGCACAAGGAAUGGUGACGAGUAGGCGACUGCAAGGUUAUGUUGGGUCAUGGCCCACUUCUGCAGCAACAUUGCUCCUGAUGAUGCUGGUGUAUUCAUUCAUUCAUUUUCUACCGCUUUUUCCUCACGAGGGUCGCGGGGGUGCUGGAGCCUAUCCCAACUGUCUUUGGGCGAGAGGCGGGGUACACCCUGGACUGGUCGCCAGCCAAUCACAGGAUGCUGGUGUAAUGGUUUCAACGUCAUCAAUACAACAUAGAAUUCAUGACAUACUUGUAUGAUGUCCAUGAUGACACCAGCGAAAACCAGUCCAAGACCUGACACCAGAAAGGGUACCAAGACCUGCAGAGCGAUGAGCCAUGAGCUCUCUGACACAACAUGCAUUCAGCCAAAGUGACUACACAUUGUCCUCUGUCAGUCACAGCCGGCAGACUGAUGAGCGACUGAUGAAAAGUGUUAAACAGAAGUGGAAAGAGGACGGUAACUCAGAUCAGCAAUCAGUUCAUUGCAAAAGGAGACAGCAAGAUUUUUCAGUCCAGUGGAACGGCAAAUUUAGAUCACGUCAAUUUUAUGGGAUUUCCCAGCAUCCUUAAAUGCAGCUAAUUGUACUUCCAUGAGUUACAAAAUGAGUGAAUAUACACGCAUAAUGAGGAUGUUAUGAUGUUCGGAAUGCCUGUGAAUGCAUCUCGCCAUAUGUCUUGCAAGGAAGCGCUGUUGCAAUGACGAAUGGACUAGAGACGUGUUUCUUGGAGCAUAGUACAUGGUGUUUAAAUCACACUCGUUGAAUAAAGUUAUUAGAGCAAGGCUUAAAUACACAAAAAAUUACAUAAUUAAUUAGAUAAAUUAGGUUCGGCCAAUGACAUGCAAUUUUUGACAGACCUCGUGAAAAAAUGUCCCCCAAAACCUCAGUUGACAUUGGCAUUUGUAGGUUCCACUAUAUCACUCACUACUCAACUCACCUGUACACUAUCCAGCACCAUCCCAGCCAUCACCAUUCCCAUUCCAGCCAGUAGAUAAGGGAAAAGAACCUGCAGACAUAUUGCUUGGGAUGAUUCCUCUGCCAAUUUAGCAACAGAUGAUUUCGGCCUCGCCUCUGAUGGCUUUUUAGAAAGUGGCUGAAGGGUGGGCGGUAAUGUGAGCUCAUCAUGUCCAUUGAGGCUAUCUGCCCGACCAGCACUGGGACUAGCACCGGGGCUUUUCCCUUUGGUCCGCGACUUUUUGGUCUUUUUCCUCUGGCGGGUUAGUGGUGGUGGUUUGUCAUCGCCUGGCAUGACGGCUGUGUGCAAAGAGUCUGGCACAGGAUUAAUCUAGACAAGGACAAAUUGUAUGAUUAGGAAUCAUAGAAUACAAUGGCGCAGUGCGUUUUCUACAAGAAUACGUCUCAAUGUUACCAUACUAGCAAGCAGGAUUGUGCAAAACUAUUGAAGCAAUCACCAUCAACUGUAGAUGAUAAGGAAUGUACCAAAGAAGAACCAAUUGCAUUUAGCAAAAUAAUAAAAUUCUGGAAUAUGCAAUCAAAAUCCCACGCAUACUUAAUGAAUUGCAGAUGAAUAAAGCCUA